Molecule: ribosomal RNA, 253 nt
Filed under: uncultured bacterium
Lineage: Bacteria
Description: partial 16S ribosomal RNA
Rfam family: Bacterial small subunit ribosomal RNA
Source: RNAcentral
UACGAAGGGGGCUAGCGUUGCUCGGAAUCACUGGGCGUAAAGGGUGCGUAGGCGGGUCUUUAAGUCAGGGGUGAAAUCCUGGAGCUCAACUCCAGAACUGCCUUCGAUACUGGCGAUCUUGAGUCCGGAAGAGGUGAGUGGAACUCCGAGUGUAGAGGUGAAAUCCGUAGAUAUUCGCAAGAACACCAGUGGCGAAGGCGGCUCACUGGCCCGAUACUGACGCUGAGGCACGAAAGCGUGGGGAGCAAACAGG